GAAUAAGAUUUUUCUCUCUAUUAUUGAGAGAAAAAUUUUCUCGUGCUAGUUGCUUUUGGUAGUGAUAAAGGCGCCCACACGUCAAGUGCAGAUCGAAUCUGAGUCAUAACCUGGAAGAUCAUUGGUGACAGUUCGUGAUCUAACAAGCGUGGUGGUGACGGAUCGUGAUCUAACAGGAGUGGUGGUGGCGGAUCGUGAUCUAGGAGUCUAAAUCACUUCAGCGGAAAAAACCAACUCGG
Molecule: long non-coding RNA, 239 nt
Filed under: Citrus x clementina
Lineage: Eukaryota; Viridiplantae; Streptophyta; Magnoliopsida; Sapindales; Rutaceae
Description: Citrus clementina (C. clementina) long non-coding RNA (CCLE_LNC000257)
Source: RNAcentral